This 1012-nucleotide ribosomal RNA is filed under the name uncultured Massilia sp. RNAcentral describes it as "bacterial SSU rRNA". It matches the Rfam family "Bacterial small subunit ribosomal RNA", at positions 56 to 1068 of the family's 1533-position model. The record is from RNAcentral. Lineage: Bacteria; Pseudomonadati; Pseudomonadota; Betaproteobacteria; Burkholderiales; Oxalobacteraceae.
UGCAGUCGAACGGCAGCGCGGGGCAACCUGGCGGCGAGUGGCGAACGGGUGAGUAAUAUAUCGGAACGUACCCAAGAGUGGGGGAUAACGUAGCGAAAGUUACGCUAAUACCGCAUACGAUCUAAGGAUGAAAGUGGGGGAUCUUCAGACCUCAUGCUCCUGGAGCGGCCGAUAUCUGAUUAGCUAGUUGGUGAGGUAAAGGCUCACCAAGGCGACGAUCAGUAGCUGGUCUGAGAGGACGACCAGCCACACUGGAACUGAGACACGGUCCAGACUCCUACGGGAGGCAGCAGUGGGGAAUUUUGGACAAUGGGCGCAAGCCUGAUCCAGCAAUGCCGCGUGAGUGAAGAAGGCCUUCGGGUUGUAAAGCUCUUUUGUCAGGGAAGAAACGGUGGAAGCUAAUAUCCUCUACUAAUGACGGUACCUGAAGAAUAAGCACCGGCUAACUACGUGCCAGCAGCCGCGGUAAUACGUAGGGUGCAAGCGUUAAUCGGAAUUACUGGGCGUAAAGCGUGCGCAGGCGGUUUUGUAAGUCUGACGUGAAAUCCCCGGGCUCAACCUGGGAAUUGCGUUGGAGACUGCAAGGCUAGAAUCUGGCAGAGGGGGGUAGAAUUCCACGUGUAGCAGUGAAAUGCGUAGAGAUGUGGAGGAACACCGAUGGCGAAGGCAGCCCCCUGGGUCAAGAUUGACGCUCAUGCACGAAAGCGUGGGGAGCAAACAGGAUUAGAUACCCUGGUAGUCCACGCCCUAAACGAUGUCUACUAGUUGUCGGGUCUUAAUUGACUUGGUAACGCAGCUAACGCGUGAAGUAGACCGCCUGGGGAGUACGGUCGCAAGAUUAAACUCAAAGGAAUUGACGGGGACCCGCACAGCGGUGGAUGAUGUGGAUUAAUUCGAUGCAACGCGAAAAACCUUACCUACCCUUGACAUGUCAGGAAUCCUGGAAAAAUCCGGGGGUGCCCGAAAGGGAACCUGAACACAAGUGCUGCAUGGCUGUCUUCACCCCUGUCCU